This 451-nucleotide ribosomal RNA is filed under the name uncultured bacterium. RNAcentral describes it as "partial 16S ribosomal RNA". It matches the Rfam family "Bacterial small subunit ribosomal RNA", at positions 28 to 507 of the family's 1533-position model. The record is from RNAcentral.
GAUGAACGCUGGCGGCGUGCCUAACACAUGCAAGUCGAGCGGCAGCGAGGGGUGCUUGCACCCUGUCGGCGAGCGGCGGACGGCUGAGUAACGCGUGGGAACGUGCCCCAAGGUGAGGAAUAACUGCCCGAAAGGGUAGCUAAUACCGCAUAUUAUCUUCGGAUCAAAGGAUUUAUCCGCUUUGGGAGCGGCUCGCGUCGGAUUAGGUAGUUGGUGAGGUAAUGGCUCACCAAGCCGACGAUCCGUAGCUGGUCUGAGAGGAUGACCAGCCAGACUGGAACUGAGACACGGUCCAGACUCCUACGUGAGGCAGCAGUGAGGAAUCUUCCACAAUGGGCGAAAGCCUGAUGGAGCAACGCCGCGUGCAGGACGAAGGCCUUCGGGUUGUAAACUGCUUUUAUAAGUGAGGAAUAUGACGGUAACUUAUGAAUAAGGAUCGGCUAACUACGUG